UACGUAGGGGGCAAGCGUUAUCCGGAUUUACUGGGUGUAAAGGGGGCGCAGACGGCGAUGCAAGCCAGGAGUGAAAGCCCGGGGCCCAACCCCGGGACUGCUCUUGGAACUGCGUGGCUGGAGUGCAGGAGGGGCUGGCGGAAUUCCUGGUGUAGCGGUGAAAUGCGUAGAUAUCAGGAGGAACACCGGUGGCGAAGGCGGCCUGCUGGACUGCAACUGACGUUGAGGCCCGAAAGCGUGGGGAGCAAACAGG
This 253-nucleotide ribosomal RNA is filed under the name uncultured bacterium. Its description in RNAcentral is "partial 16S ribosomal RNA". It matches the Rfam family "Bacterial small subunit ribosomal RNA", at positions 524 to 776 of the family's 1533-position model. The record is from RNAcentral.